AGAGGUGACACUGGCGUGUUUCUGCACUCAGGGUGCCCUUCCUGCCUUUUCCUCCCGGACACAGAGUCACAAGUGUGCACAGGGAAUGACAGACUCGGCGUCCAGUGGAGCCAUCCCCUGGCCUCGGAGUAGGAGGCGCGCCCAGGCCAGGCCAGACCACAGUGUAACAGGAGGGAGGAGGGCUUGCUUCUUUCAGGCAAGAAAAUUAAAACGGACAAAGAAAUAAAAGUAUUAAAUGUAUAGGAAAAACUGGAGUUUUUAUGACAGCGAUCAUCUAUAAAGAAACCAAGAGAAGUAAGCAAACAUUUGAACUAGCUCAGACAAGCAGCCUGCUUCACCCGCAGUUCACAAGGAAAACCCACAAUCAUAACGUUAAAAAUAUUCCCAAGCGCCGGGCGCGGUGGCUCACGCCUGUAAUCCCAGAACUUUGGAAGGCCAAGGUGAGAAAAUUGCUUAAGGUCAGGAGUUCAAGACCAGCCUAACCAACAUGGUGAAACCCCAUCUCUACUAAAAAUACAAAAAUUAGCCAGGCGUGGUGGCAGGUGCCUGUAAUCCCAGCAACUCGGGAAGCUGAGGUACGAGAAUCGCUUGAACCUGGGAGGGGGAAGUUGCAGUGAGCCGAGAUAGCGCCAUUGCACUCCAGCCUGGGCGACAGAGCGAGACUAAAAAAUGAAAUAUGAAAUGAAAUGAAAUAAUGAAAUGAAGAAAUGAAAUAUAAAAUAAAAUAAUCCCAAGCUUGGGACCCAGACUCUAACUGCUGAAAUGGAACCCCAGUGUGGAUCAGAACCUGGUGAUGAGACAGGGACACUUAAGAAUUCAACUUUGGGAGCUCAAGGUGCCCUCCAGUCCUCUCCUCACAGUGUGGAAACACUCUUUCCUUCAAAACCUUCAUUUGUACCAGCAGGAAACUCUCACCCGGAGUCAAUGUAAAGUCGUGACCUAAAUAAAUUGUCAUGUUCCCAAACCUUUUCUCCAGGGGACAAUGCAAACAAGUUUUUCACUGAGUCUGACCCUCACAGAUUUUCUUCAUGUAUACAAAUUACAGCCUGACUCAGCGACCCCAUGAAUGCUAAAACCAAAACACUGUCCAGGAAAUGGCCCCAGGCGCCAAAGGCUCCAGACUGGUCUCAGGCUCUCCUGCCCACUGCAGUUUAUUCACUUGCUUCUCACCAACACUGAUCCACUUAGGUAAGAAAAAAGACCUUCAAUCCCCUUUGCUGUUUGUUUGUUUUUAAGAAACUAGCAGAGUUCCUGCUUUCCUUCUGUGGUUAUGUAUAAGCUGGAAGACAAAAAAUUCUAAAAUACUUUAUAUGGAUUUUAAAACUGGCAAGUAAUGAUUCCUUUGAGAAAACAAAGAUAUCAGCUAUGCUAUUAUGAUUUAUA
Molecule: long non-coding RNA, 1383 nt
Filed under: Homo sapiens (human)
Lineage: Eukaryota; Metazoa; Chordata; Mammalia; Primates; Hominidae
Description: HSALNT0396166
Source: RNAcentral